CCUACGGGGCGCAGCAGUGGGGAAUAUUGCACAAUGGGGGAAACCCUGAUGCAGCGACGCCGCGUGAGUGAAGAAGUAUUUCGGUACGUAAAGCUCUAUCAGCAGGGAAGAAAAUGACGGUACCUGACUAAGAAGCCCCGGCUAACUACGUGCCAGCAGCCGCGGUAAUACGUAUGGUGCAAGCGUUAUCCGGAUUUACUGGGUGUAAAGGGAGCGCAGGCGGCACGCUAAGCCUGAUGUGAAAACCCGCGGCCCAACCGCGGGAGUGCAUUGGGAACUGGCGGGCUGGAGUACCGGAGGGGCAG
Molecule: ribosomal RNA, 305 nt
Filed under: uncultured bacterium
Lineage: Bacteria
Description: bacterial SSU rRNA
Rfam family: Bacterial small subunit ribosomal RNA
Source: RNAcentral